Vicugna pacos (alpaca) is the source of this 176-nucleotide non-coding RNA. Lineage: Eukaryota; Metazoa; Chordata; Mammalia; Artiodactyla; Camelidae. The record is from RefSeq and is a predicted model, not a curated record.
AGUGAAAACUGCAGGAACUUCAAACCAGCACUAGGAAACAGACUGAGAAACCAGAGUAAUAAGUGUUUCCCAUGCAACACUGUCCCUUUAUGCUAGAUGAACGAAUGUCUCUCCACAUGCUCUGUUCUCACAGAUAAGUGUGUGUGAAAGUCAUCCUUCACCUAGUUUGUUGGGAA